Molecule: non-coding RNA, 196 nt
Organism: Plectropomus leopardus (leopard coralgrouper)
Lineage: Eukaryota; Metazoa; Chordata; Actinopteri; Perciformes; Serranidae
Source: RefSeq, a predicted model, not a curated record
AUUAGAGAGCCAUAAGAGUGCGGAGUCACUCCUUUGAGACGCUCGGGGUUCCCAGGAAGACCGGUGGCAGCGCGUUACAGAAACCUAAGACAGAAAAAGAUGGAGAGAGUGACAAAUCUCCAGGAUCUCUGCCUGCUGACAGUUUGGUGCCGGCUGAACUCAAAGAUCAAGCAAGUCCUCAAGAAGAGACAUAAAA